AAAUUGAAGAGUUUGAUCAUGGCUCAGAUUGAACGCUGGCGGCAGGCCUAACACAUGCAAGUCGAACGGUAACAGGAAGCAGCUUGCUGCUUUGCUGACGAGUGGCGGACGGGUGAGUAAUGUCUGGGAAACUGCCUGAUGGAGGGGGAUAACUACUGGAAACGGUGGCUAAUACCGCAUAACGUCGCAAGACCAAAGAGGGGGACCUUCGGGCCUCUUGCCAUCAGAUGUGCCCAGAUGGGAUUAGCUUGUUGGUGAGGUAACGGCUCACCAAGGCGACGAUCCCUAGCUGGUCUGAGAGGAUGACCAGCCACACUGGAACUGAGACACGGUCCAGACUCCUACGGGAGGCAGCAGUGGGGAAUAUUGCACAAUGGGCGCAAGCCUGAUGCAGCCAUGCCGCGUGUAUGAAGAAGGCCUUCGGGUUGUAAAGUACUUUCAGCGGGGAGGAAGGUGUUGUGGUUAAUAACCGCAGCAAUUGACGUUACCCGCAGAAGAAGCACCGGCUAACUCCGUGCCAGCAGCCGCGGUAAUACGGAGGGUGCAAGCGUUAAUCGGAAUUACUGGGCGUAAAGCGCACGCAGGCGGUCUGUCAAGUCGGAUGUGAAAUCCCCGGGCUCAACCUGGGAACUGCAUUCGAAACUGGCAGGCUUGAGUCUUGUAGAGGGGGGUAGAAUUCCAGGUGUAGCGGUGAAAUGCGUAGAGAUCUGGAGGAAUACCGGUGGCGAAGGCGGCCCCCUGGACAAAGACUGACGCUCAGGUGCGAAAGCGUGGGGAGCAAACAGGAUUAGAUACCCUGGUAGUCCACGCCGUAAACGAUGUCUACUUGGAGGUUGUGCCCUUGAGGCGUGGCUUCCGGAGCUAACGCGUUAAGUAGACCGCCUGGGGAGUACGGCCGCAAGGUUAAAACUCAAAUGAAUUGACGGGGGCCCGCACAAGCGGUGGAGCAUGUGGUUUAAUUCGAUGCAACGCGAAGAACCUUACCUGGUCUUGACAUCCACGGAAGAAUCCAGAGAUGGAUUUGUGCCUUCGGGAACCGUGAGACAGGUGCUGCAUGGCUGUCGUCAGCUCGUGUUGUGAAAUGUUGGGUUAAGUCCCGCAACGAGCGCAACCCUUAUCCUUUGUUGCCAGCGGUUAGGCCGGGAACUCAAAGGAGACUGCCAGUGAUAAACUGGAGGAAGGUGGGGAUGACGUCAAGUCAUCAUGGCCCUUACGACCAGGGCUACACACGUGCUACAAUGGCGCAUACAAAGAGAAGCGACCUCGCGAGAGCAAGCGGACCUCAUAAAGUGCGUCGUAGUCCGGAUUGGAGUCUGCAACUCGACUCCAUGAAGUCGGAAUCGCUAGUAAUCGUGGAUCAGAAUGCCACGGUGAAUACGUUCCCGGGCCUUGUACACACCGCCCGUCACACCAUGGGAGUGGGUUGCAAAAGAAGUAGGUAGCUUAACCUUCGGGAGGGCGCUUACCACUUUGUGAUUCAUGACUGGGGUGAAGUCGUAACAAGGUAACCGUAGGGGAACCUGCGGUUGGAUCACCUCCUUA
Molecule: ribosomal RNA, 1542 nt
Filed under: Salmonella enterica subsp. enterica serovar Shamba
Lineage: Bacteria; Pseudomonadati; Pseudomonadota; Gammaproteobacteria; Enterobacterales; Enterobacteriaceae
Description: bacterial SSU rRNA
Rfam family: Bacterial small subunit ribosomal RNA
Source: RNAcentral